Molecule: ribosomal RNA, 492 nt
Filed under: uncultured bacterium
Lineage: Bacteria
Description: bacterial SSU rRNA
Rfam family: Bacterial small subunit ribosomal RNA
Source: RNAcentral
ACUCAAAUGAAUAGACGGGGGCCCGCACAAGCAGUGGAGUAUGUGGUUUAAUUCGAAGCAACGCGAAGAACCUUACCAGGUCUUGACAUCCAGCGAAUCUUCAAGAGAUUGAGGAGUGCCUUCGGGAGCGCUGAGACAGGUGGUGCAUGGUUGUCGUCAGCUCGUGUCGUGAGAUGUUGGGUUAAGUCCCGCAACGAGCGCAACCCUUGCCAUUAGUUGCUACGCAAGAGCACUCUAAUGGGACCGCUACCGACAAGGUGGAGGAAGGUGGGGACGACGUCAAAUCAUCAUGCCCCUUAUGACCUGGGCUACACACGUACUACAAUGGCCGCAAACAACGGGAAGCGAAGGCGCGAGUCGGAGCAAAACCCAAAAAGCGGUCUCAGUUCGGAUCGCAGGCUGCAACCCGCCUGCGUGAAGUCGGAAUUGCUAGUAAUCGCGGAUCAGCAUGCCGCGGUGAAUACGUUCCCGGGCCUUGUACACACCGCCCGU